GAUGAACGCUGGCGGCGUGCCUAAUACAUGCAAGUCGAGCGAACGGACGAGAAGCUUGCUUCUCUGAUGUUAGCGGCGGACGGGUGAGUAACACGUGGAUAACCUACCUAUAAGACUGGGAUAACUUCGGGAAACCGUAGCUAAUACCGGAUAAUAUUUUGAACCGCAUGAUUCAAAAGUGAAAGACGGUCUUGCUGUCACUUAUAGAUGGAUCCGCGCUGCAUUAGCUAGUUGGUAAGGUAACGGCUUACCAAGGCAACGAUGCAUAGCCGACCUGAGAGGGUGAUCGGCCACACUGGAGCUGAGACACGGUCCAGACUCCUACGGGAGGCAGCAGUAGGGAAUCUUCCGCAAUGGGCGAAAGCCUGACGGAGCAACGCCGCGUGAGUGAUGAAGGUCUUCGGAUCGUAAAACUCUGUUAUUAGGGAAGAACAUAUGUGUAAGUAACUGUGCACAUCUUGACGGUACCUAAUCAGAAAGCCACGGCUAACUACGUG
RNAcentral lists this ribosomal RNA (497 nucleotides) under uncultured bacterium. RNAcentral describes it as "partial 16S ribosomal RNA". It matches the Rfam family "Bacterial small subunit ribosomal RNA", at positions 28 to 507 of the family's 1533-position model. The record is from RNAcentral.